RNAcentral lists this long non-coding RNA (472 nucleotides) under Anser brachyrhynchus (Pink-footed goose). RNAcentral describes it as "lncRNA (ENSABRG00000007428.1)". Lineage: Eukaryota; Metazoa; Chordata; Aves; Anseriformes; Anatidae. The record is from RNAcentral.
CUGUGCUUGGUGUUUCUCUCUCUCUCUCUGUGCUCUACUUGCAGCUCCCUGCAGCUACUUGGAGCAUCUCACACAGCUGGAAGUGGCUGAAGCGUCCUGCACAUGCCUGGCCAGGUACGUGGGGCAGGUGUUCCUGGAGAAUGCCGACCGCUCCCUUCCUGCAUUUGAUCAGCUAACAAGCAGGACUGAGGCAAGGGUCAUUCUGCUCUCUCUUCAGUAGCCCUGCUGAAGAUGGUUUUUGCCUGAGGCUUCUCAUCAUGACCUACAAGAUGAGGAAUUACUGCCUCUAGCCCAGCGAUUACUGUCUGCGAAAAAGCCCGACUCUUUUGUACUCUGCUGGCAACGUUAUUUGAAUCACUGGAGGUAUAUAGUGUGCUCCUAUAGUGUAUAUAGUAUAUACUAUAUAGUGUGCUCCUAUAUAGCAGCUCACACUACCACUUCUAGAAUUCAUCUAGCAGUAGGGGUAUCCCUG